CAGCAGCCGCGGUAAUACGUAGGUGGCGAGCGUUGUCCGGAUUUAUUGGGCGUAAAGCGAGCGCAGGCGGUUAGAUAAGUCUGAAGUUAAAGGCUGUGGCUUAACCAUAGUACGCUUUGGAAACUGUUUAACUUGAGUGCAAGAGGGGAGAGUGGAAUUCCAUGUGUAGCGGUGAAAUGCGUAGAUAUAUGGAGGAACACCGGUGGCGAAAGCGGCUCUCUGGCUUGUAACUGACGCUGAGGCUCGAAAGCGUGGGGAGCAAACAGGAUUAGAUACCCCUGUAGUCCCUGUCUCUUAUACA
RNAcentral lists this ribosomal RNA (301 nucleotides) under uncultured bacterium. RNAcentral's name for it is "partial 16S ribosomal RNA". It matches the Rfam family "Bacterial small subunit ribosomal RNA", at positions 509 to 808 of the family's 1533-position model. The record is from RNAcentral.